RNAcentral lists this long non-coding RNA (421 nucleotides) under Prunus persica (peach). Its description in RNAcentral is "long non-coding RNA (PPER_LNC006099)". Lineage: Eukaryota; Viridiplantae; Streptophyta; Magnoliopsida; Rosales; Rosaceae. The record is from RNAcentral.
UCGUUUUCUUAUUUACAUGCAAUGAAUCGGUCCAAAUCAAACCCUUCAAGUGCAUUUUUCUUCCUUGAUUUUAGGGUUUUUUACGAUCUUGCUCCUCAACUAUUUGUAUGUUGUCAAUUUAACUCCUUAACAAAUUUUUCGAUAAAUCAAGGACUCUAAUUGUUUUAAAAUCACCAAUUGAGGGCUUAUCAUCAAUUUUUUAAGGGUAAAAUCGCCAUUUAAAAACAAUUAAAAAAUAAAAAAUAAAAACCUUACCUACCUAAAAUUAAACAUUUAAUUUUUUUUUUAAAAUUAGCAUUUAAAAUUUAAAGAAAAGAAAUAUUUAACAUUUAAAAUUAAAAAAAAAUCAACUCAACCUCAACCUCCCCUUCCCCUCCCCUAUCCUUCCCCUUCCGUCUCCCCUCUCUUCCUCCCCUUCCCC